This 432-nucleotide ribosomal RNA is filed under the name uncultured bacterium. RNAcentral describes it as "partial 16S ribosomal RNA". It matches the Rfam family "Bacterial small subunit ribosomal RNA", at positions 29 to 507 of the family's 1533-position model. The record is from RNAcentral.
AACGAACGCUGGCGGCAUGCCUAACACAUGCAAGUCGAACGAGACCUUCGGGUCUAGUGGCGCACGGGUGCGUAACGCGGGGUAACUUGCCCUUAGGUUCGGAAUAACUCCCCGAAAGGGGUGCUAAUACCGGAUAAUGUCUUCGGACCAAAGAUUUAUCGCCUGUGGAUGGGCCCGCGUUGCUUGGCUAGUUGGUAGGGGAAAAGCCUACCAAGGCGACGAUCCAUAGCUGGUCUGAUAGGAUGCUCAGUCACACUGGGACUGCGACACGGCCCAGAAUCCUACGGGAGGCAGCAGUGGGGAAUAUUAGGCGAUGGACGAAAGCCUGAUACCGCCAUGCCGCGUGAGUGAUGAAGCCCUUAGGGUUGUAAAGCUCUUUUACCCGGGAUGAUAAUGACAGUACCGGGAGAAUAAGCACCGGCUAACUCCGUG